Molecule: long non-coding RNA, 155 nt
Filed under: Ictidomys tridecemlineatus (thirteen-lined ground squirrel)
Lineage: Eukaryota; Metazoa; Chordata; Mammalia; Rodentia; Sciuridae
Description: lncRNA (ENSSTOG00000031784.1)
Source: RNAcentral
CAUGCCUGGAAAUUUGUUGCUCUGCGUGCCAAGCCUUUCGCAAUGGCAGGUAUAAGUUGUGAUGCUUCUUUAUAUCCAGGAGGACAAAUUCAUACUCCUAGGGCAGCUUUCCCAUCUCCAGAGAUACAGCAGGCUACUGAAGCAAGUGUGAAGAG